GAACACAAUGAAAUUGAAACGUACACGGUUAUUUAAUAGAGUCAUUUACAUAUAGAAUCACUUUAUAAGUUUUUAUUACACUGUGGGACAGUUGUUGCUACUGAGGUAGUUUCUUUUAACCAAGUCAAAACUAGAUGUUGCUUGUUUGGUUUCUUUUCUAGUUAGCUCAAUUUAUUUUUAAUCGUUUUCUUUUUAAAAAAAAAUGGAACAUAAAAUUUGAAGAUCUAAAAAUUAACAAAUAAGAAAGACGAUGGUGGCUUCCUGCCACAAGACACUCGUGGUCACCAUGCCAAAAUUAUGUACCUCUUAUGUCACGGAGUUUCUUGAACUGUGCCAUCACUACGCAACCAUCUCCGCCGCGUCUCCUCCGUCUCUCGAUUCACAACCACAACCAAGUUUAAUUCUC
This 406-nucleotide long non-coding RNA is filed under the name Brassica rapa (field mustard). RNAcentral describes it as "long non-coding RNA (BRAP_LNC007671)". The record is from RNAcentral. Lineage: Eukaryota; Viridiplantae; Streptophyta; Magnoliopsida; Brassicales; Brassicaceae.